UACGGAGGGUGCAAGCGUUGUCCGGAUUUACUGGGUUUAAAGGGUGCGCAGGCGGAUAUGUAAGUCAGUGGUGAAAUCUCUGGGCUUAACCCGGAAAUUGCCAUUGAUACUAUAUAUCUUGAAUGUUGUGGAGGUAAGCGGAAUAUGUCAUGUAGCGGUGAAAUGCUUAGAUAUGACAUAGAACACCUAUUGCGAAGGCAGCUUACUGGGCAGAUAUUGACGCUCAUGCACGAAAGCGUGGGGAUCAAACAGG
Molecule: ribosomal RNA, 253 nt
Filed under: uncultured bacterium
Lineage: Bacteria
Description: partial 16S ribosomal RNA
Rfam family: Bacterial small subunit ribosomal RNA
Source: RNAcentral